UUUAAGGGCAUCAUCAGUUUGUAUAUUUUUCACACAAUUUACUGCAUGUUUCAGUUUAAAAUCUCAGAUGUUCAGUAAAGAAACGGAAACACGAUUAAUUGGGCCAUCGAUGGAGACAAUAAAAGCCAGUUCCGGAAGCGAAUGCGCCAUGCUUUGCACAAAUGACAACAACUGCUGCUCCAGUACUUAUGACACAAACCUAGAACAAUGCUCAUUAUUUCUUGCAUGCUACCCUAACAAGGAAUAUUCAAAAGAAUCACAAACAAUAACGAAGGUUUCAGUUGACCCAUGUCAUGGAGUUUCCCGGUGUAAUCGUGGAAAAUGUAUUGUGCAGGGAUCCUCAUAUAUCUGCCAAUGUCUGAUUUGCGUGUUUAAAAAUGGGAAUACAUCCUGCAACCACUAUAAGUGUGAAUAGGAUAUUGGCACACCAGACAUUUUAGGAGAUCAAAGGACACAUUUGUUUUGGAUUAUUGUUACAUUUCUGUUUUGGACAUUUUGAUUAAUCCAGGCGUCCUUUACGAAGCACUGCAAAUACGCAACAUGAUUUACGAGGAUGGGACAUACAUUUCUAAAUUGGUCCAUGCCAGAUAAAACAGAC
Mytilus californianus (California mussel) is the source of this 598-nucleotide long non-coding RNA. RefSeq lists it as uncharacterized. The transcript has 3 exons. The record is from RefSeq and is a predicted model, not a curated record. Lineage: Eukaryota; Metazoa; Mollusca; Bivalvia; Mytilida; Mytilidae.